This is a long non-coding RNA of Carcharodon carcharias (great white shark), 1780 nucleotides long. RefSeq lists it as uncharacterized. The transcript is spliced from 5 exons. The record is from RefSeq and is a predicted model, not a curated record. NCBI's taxonomy places the organism in Eukaryota, Metazoa, Chordata, Chondrichthyes, Lamniformes, Lamnidae.
GAGCUCGCGACAAGCCGCCUCCGAUCGGCAAUCGGGGAGUGCGGCAUCCAGAGCAGGGCCGCCGCCACUACCACCACCACUCUCCUUCCUCCAGGCUCAGCACAUGCGCCGCGAGUGGCGGGACACAUCAGUUAAUGCACGGGCUUUUUUGUUAUUUGUUGACUGCCAGCUUUCACCCGCUGCUGCAGCUGACUUUUGAGCAUGCUGAUGAUUCCAACGGAAACAAAGACAGCCGUCACGCACGCGCGGCGUGUGCAUGUCUCAUAUAUGUGCGCGCGCGGAGGAACUCUUGCAACGCGUCAAGCACCAGCGGAAAACACGCAAGCUUUUGGUUUCUGGGUAACAUCCCAGCGCUGUUCCCCACCCCAACACAGAGGCUGUCCACAAAGCCAGACAAAAAGGUCAUUGAUAUUCAUAAAGGGGUGUGGUGAGACUGAAAAACAAGAGUUCGCCAAACUUUCCAAUAUAUUUAAUAUAAAUGCAAGCAAGGAUUUGUAACGCGACUAUAAGAAGAUUUGUAUGAGCAAGUAAAAUAGGAGUUCGUUUGGUCAUUAACUCAAUAAAAUGUAAACAUCGAAGGAAAAUCUAUCCACAGUAGCAUGACGAACUGCAGGUCGUAUUAAUAAGCAUCUUGUAAUCGGCACCAUCGGCACCUGAAUAAGAAACAUACAUUUAUCAGCCGGCAAAUGGUACGACUGUCGACCGCAAGUUAUGGUUGUAACAAGCGAAGCUGACAAAGACGGCACAUUCAAUGAAAACAGCAUUUCCCCGGACGUAAAUGUGUUCCCAAGCGAUUAAUCACACUAUAAUGACUGGAAUUAUUGCAUGCAUCAGCCUUAUGAAAUAUUUGUCGGGACUGUGUGAUGAAGGAGAUGCGAUCAUUCCUUGAAACCCGAGGGGAAGGUUUCUUUCUGUCCAUCGAAAACGCAUUUAAAAGCAUUUUGUUUUGCCUUAACAAGUUGCACAUGCCAGAAUGUUAAUUGAAUGUCAGAUAUUAAAUGUUACAACUGGCUGUAAUGUGUGUCCGACAGAUGAGUAUGCGGGAGAGAAUCGGAACUUGUAACCAACCUACAGUCAAGAUCUGCAGCUGAACCACUGAUAAAAGCAAUGAACAACUCAUAGAUGGUGAGAAGGCCAACCAAAUAUUGUAAAAGUAUGUCCGAAUAGCUAAACCCGAUGAUACAAAAAGGUGCAGGAGCGCCACACGAAAUUGAGUGUGCAAACUUCAGCCCGGAGCACACUUCUAAGGAAACUAAGUUGCUGUCUGACCUGCUGAGUUUUUCCAGCAUUUUCUGUUUUUAUGUAAGGAGAGAAUCUUGCUUGGCUGUGAUGAUCAGAUUGCCAGUUGACAAACAAUAUCUGGACUCACGCAUCAAAAGUGGCCAUGAGAGAAACAUACCAGAGGACAUGGUUCCUGCACAUCUGUAGACUAUCAAGGAAUCAAUCUUGUCAGGAAAGGCAAAAGCGGUGAAAUAAAAUUGAAGAGAAAAUGGCCCUGGGUCGUAACUUCUCUAAAUUGAUCGUGCAAUCUAAAGUAUGCCUGGUGCUGCUGGCCACUUAGUGAAAUAUCCAGGAGAUUAAUCUUUAAUUGUUGAAUGCUUCAGAAUAUCCCUGGGAAAUGUAGGCCUUGCUGUGUGUAAAUUGGCUGCUAUCUCAACCUACACUAUUAUAGUUACUAAGCUUUGUUGGCUGUGAAGUACUGUGGAUUGUCCUAAGAUUAUAAAAAGCACUUAACAAUGCAAGUACUUCUAUUCUUUUAACCAGAAAUAACUUUUGUAAA